This 466-nucleotide ribosomal RNA is filed under the name uncultured bacterium. RNAcentral's name for it is "bacterial SSU rRNA". It matches the Rfam family "Bacterial small subunit ribosomal RNA", at positions 330 to 792 of the family's 1533-position model. The record is from RNAcentral.
ACCAGACUCCUACGGGAGGCAGCAGUGAGGAAUAUUGGUCAAUGGGCGAGAGCCUGAACCAGCCAAGUCGCGUGAGGGAAGACGGUCCUAUGGAUUGUAAACCUCUUUAGGCGGGGAGCAAUGCCGGGCACGCGUGUCCGGAGGGAGAGUACCCGCAGAAUAAGCAUCGGCUAACUCCGUGCCAGCAGCCGCGGUAAUACGGAGGAUGCGAGCGUUAUCCGGAUUUAUUGGGUUUAAAGGGAGCGUAGGCCGGUCUUUAAGCGUGCGGUGAAAUUUUGUGGCUCAACCAUGAGAGUGCGGCGCGAACUGGAGACCUUGAGUGCGCGGAAGGCAGGCGGAAUUCGUGGUGUAGCGGUGAAAUGCUUAGAUAUCACGAAGAACCCCGAUUGCGAAGGCAGCCUGCCGCAGCGUUACUGACGCUGAAGCUCGAAAGCGCGGGUAUCGAACAGGAUUAGAUACCCGUGUA